This 372-nucleotide transfer-messenger RNA is filed under the name Azospirillum oleiclasticum. It matches the Rfam family "Alphaproteobacteria transfer-messenger RNA". From Rfam's summary of the family: Bacterial tmRNA, also known as 10Sa RNA or SsrA, is named for its dual tRNA and mRNA-like properties. Its role is to liberate the mRNA from a stalled ribosome. To accomplish this part of the tmRNA is used as a reading frame that ends in a translation stop signal. Lineage: Bacteria; Pseudomonadati; Pseudomonadota; Alphaproteobacteria; Rhodospirillales; Azospirillaceae. The record is from RNAcentral.
CCCCUUUCAUCGCGCCGCGAAAGCCCCUAUAUUGGGCCUGUCGGUCGCACCGACUAUGGUGAUAAACGCCUUGUGGAAUAAGCGUUGUGGACCCGGGGGCGGUACCCGGCGCCUCCACCAACCUCCCGCCGGCCGGGCUUCGCGCCAGUCAGCGGGUCGAUGGGGGCGAAACAGGAUCGACACGCGUGGUAAAGGCAAGGUCUUCGCCCGGCAUGGUUCCGCCGUUAUCGGGCCAUUGCAAUAGUUGCCAAUGACAACGUUGCUCCGGUUGCUGUCGCUGCGUAAGCAGCGCUGGUGAUCGAAACCAAAUCCCUUCAGGGUAGCACUUGAAGGUGGGGUUCGUGGGCCGCCCAGCAACAGAAGGCCCACACU